RNAcentral lists this ribosomal RNA (138 nucleotides) under uncultured eukaryote. Its description in RNAcentral is "partial 18S ribosomal RNA". It matches the Rfam family "Eukaryotic small subunit ribosomal RNA", at positions 1299 to 1458 of the family's 1831-position model. The record is from RNAcentral.
UGGUGGGUUGCCUUGUCAGGUUGAUUCCGGUGACGAACGAGACCUCAGCCUGCUAACUAGUGACGCCUUCUCCGGAAGGCGGCGCACUUCUUAGAGGGACUAUUGGCGAUUAGCCAAUGGAAGCAUGAGGCAAUAACA